CCCUGUAGCCCAAGACUGGUUGCCCACUGAAGCCAAGCAGGGUUGAGAUAGGAGACCCCCUGGGAAAACUAGGUUGCUGCUGGAA
RNAcentral lists this ribosomal RNA (85 nucleotides) under Sinocyclocheilus rhinocerous. The record is from RNAcentral. Lineage: Eukaryota; Metazoa; Chordata; Actinopteri; Cypriniformes; Cyprinidae.